Molecule: unclassified non-coding RNA, 201 nt
Filed under: Hevea brasiliensis (rubber tree)
Lineage: Eukaryota; Viridiplantae; Streptophyta; Magnoliopsida; Malpighiales; Euphorbiaceae
Source: RNAcentral
GGUUCAGCUGGUACACUUGACAGUAACAUAAGUUCAGUUAUUCUUGGUUUUGAUGCUGUGGCCCUUUCAUCAAGAGUCAAAAGCAAGACUUUCUCUCUUAAGUCUAUGCAAAUCAUGUUUAAAGUUUUGGAUUUGGGAUGGCAUUUUCCAUUUUCAUAGUAACUGAUGCUCUCCUUUCUCUUUUUAACUUGUAAUGCACUU